GACGAACGCUGGCGGCGUGCUUAACACAUGCAAGUCGAACGGAAAGGCCCUGCUUUUGUGGGGUGCUCGAGUGGCGAACGGGUGAGUAACACGUGAGUAACCUGCCCUUGACUUUGGGAUAACUUCAGGAAACUGGGGCUAAUACCGGAUAGGAGCUCCUGCUGCAUGGUGGGGGUUGGAAAGUUUCGGCGGUUGGGGAUGGACUCGCGGCUUAUCAGCUUGUUGGUGGGGUAGUGGCUUACCAAGACUUUGACGGGUAGCCGGCCUGAGAGGGUGACCGGCCACAUUGGGACUGAGAUACGGCCCAGACUCCUACGGGAGGCAGCAGUGGGGAAUAUUGCACAAUGGGCGGAAGCCUGAUGCAGCAACGCCGCGUGCGGGAUGACGGCCUUCGGGUUGUAAACCGCUUUCGCCUGUGACGAAGCGUGAGUGACGGUAAUGGGUAAAGAAGCACCGGCUAACUACGUGCCAGCAGCCGCGGUGAUACGUAGGGUGCGAGCGUUGUCCGGAUUUAUUGGGCGUAAAGGGCUCGUAGGUGGUUGAUCGCGUCGGAAGUGUAAUCUUGGGGCUUAACCCUGAGCGUGCUUUCGAUACGGGUUGACUUGAGGAAGGUAGGGGAGAAUGGAAUUCCUGGUGGAGCGGUGGAAUGCGCAGAUAUCAGGAGGAACACCAGUGGCGAAGGCGGUUCUCUGGGCCUUUCCUGACGCUGAGGAGCGAAAGCGUGGGGAGCGAACAGGCUUAGAUACCCUGGUAGUCCACGCUGUAAACGGUGGGUACUAGGUGUGGGGUCCAUUCCACGGGUUCCGUGCCGUAGCUAACGCUUUAAGUACCCCGCCUGGGGAGUACGGCCGCAAGGCUAAAACUCAAAGGAAUUGACGGGGCCCCGCACAAGCGGCGGAGCAUGCGGAUUAAUUCGAUGCAACGCGUAGAACCUUACCUGGGUUUGACAUGGAUCGGGAGCGCUCAGAGAUGGGUGUGCCUCUUUUGGGGUCGGUUCACAGGUGGUGCAUGGCUGUCGUCAGCUCGUGUCGUGAGAUGUUGGGUUAAGUCCCGCAACGAGCGCAACCCUUGUUCACUGUUGCCAGCACGUUAUGGUGGGGACUCAGUGGAGACCGCCGGGGUCAACUCGGAGGAAGGUGGGGAUGACGUCAAGUCAUCGUGCCCCUUAUGUCCAGGGCUUCACGCAUGCUACAAUGGCUGGUACAGAGAGUGGCGAGCCUGUGAGGGUGAGCGAAUCUCGGAAAGCCGGUCUCAGUUCGGAUUGGGGUCCGCAACUCGACCUCAUGAAGUCGGAGUCGCUAGUAAUCGCAGAUCAGCAACGCUGCGGUGAAUACGUUCCCGGGGCU
RNAcentral lists this ribosomal RNA (1346 nucleotides) under uncultured bacterium. RNAcentral describes it as "bacterial SSU rRNA". It matches the Rfam family "Bacterial small subunit ribosomal RNA", at positions 28 to 1381 of the family's 1533-position model. The record is from RNAcentral.